Molecule: small RNA, 87 nt
Filed under: unclassified sequences
Description: GA-cis RNA
Rfam family: GA-cis RNA
Source: Rfam by way of RNAcentral
UUGAAAAGAAAACAAAAUGAAAGAAAUUCAUUUUUAAUAAAUGUUUUCGACAAAUGGCUGCCGACCGGAGGGAGGGCAGUACAUCUU